GCGGGCCCCGGGCACGAUCUGCGAGCGCGGCGAGUCGUUGGGCGAGGGGGUCAGGCGGUCCAUGUCACAGCCGGUGUAGAUCCUGCGGGAUUGUUUCAGAAACCCCUAGGAAAAAGCCGCGCACGCAGUAAUCAUGAAAGACUGGCCUUCACCCGUGUUCUGGAACCCGAGGUUUGCUGCUGGAAGCCUCCAAGAUGAGAUGCCUGAAGCUAUCGCAAUCACAAUGAAUCAUGAGGUGACCUAAAGGAAGAAAGCCAACACAAGCAAAGCAGAGCAGAGAGAUAGAAGGAACCUGGGUCUCUAAUGUCUUUGAAGUUUUAUAUUGGACUUGAAAUAUGAGACAUACCUUUCUACCUUGUUUAAGCCAUUGUUAUUUUGAGCUAACACAACCUUAGAUCUAAGUAUUACUUGUUUAAUGCAAAAACUGAAAAUAAUUCAGGCGUUACAUAAAGUAUAGGAGUCUCCCGCCUCACA
Long non-coding RNA from Pan troglodytes (chimpanzee), 474 nucleotides. RefSeq lists it as uncharacterized. The record is from RefSeq and is a predicted model, not a curated record. NCBI's taxonomy places the organism in Eukaryota, Metazoa, Chordata, Mammalia, Primates, Hominidae. The transcript has 3 exons.